This is a long non-coding RNA of Ictalurus punctatus (channel catfish), 432 nucleotides long. NCBI's taxonomy places the organism in Eukaryota, Metazoa, Chordata, Actinopteri, Siluriformes, Ictaluridae. The record is from Ensembl.
CCGAGAGUGAGUAAGUUUUGUGGAGCUCUGAGAAAAGGUUUUUAAAAUCUUUAACACCAGGCAGAAACGGUGAUAUUAAUGUCCCACAGAGACUGUUGACUAAGGUUUUGGAAAGGAACAUUUGAUCACUGAUUUAACCCUACUAUUAUGUUGGAAAAAGGGUCGCGGGGGAACCUGGAGCCUAUCGCAGGGAGCAUCGGGCACAGGCGGGUACACCCUGGACAGGGUGCCAGUCCAUCACAGAGCACACAAUCACACAUUCAUACACUACGGACACUUUAGACACGCCAAUCAGCCAUGCAUGUCUUUGGACCGCAGGAAACCCCCGCAAACGGGAGAACAUGCAAACUCCGCACACACACAGCCGCAGGAAUCAAACCCGACCCUGGCGGUGUGAGGCGAACGUGCCAACCACUAAGCCACCGUUCCCUA